RNAcentral lists this long non-coding RNA (997 nucleotides) under Homo sapiens (human). RNAcentral's name for it is "long non-coding RNA NONHSAT151235.1". Lineage: Eukaryota; Metazoa; Chordata; Mammalia; Primates; Hominidae. The record is from RNAcentral.
GCCUGUGGAGACUGGAUUGUGGGAGGAGGUAGAUCUGGCCUCGGAAGUGGCCUUAGAGGUGGUGCGGACAGCAGAGCCUGGCGUGUGGUUGGAGGCUCAGGCCCCGGUGGCCCUGGUGGCUCAGCCUGAGCCCCUGCCGGCCACAGCUGGUGUGAAGAGGGAGAGCGUGGGCAUGGAGGUGGCAGUGCUGACUGAUGACCCGCUGCCCGUUGUGGACCAGCAGCAGGUGCUGGCCCGUCUGCAGCUGUUGGAGCAGCAGGUUGUGGGUGGAGAGCAGGCCAAGAACAAGGACCUGAAGGAGAAGCACAAGCGGCGCAAGCGCUACGCAGACGAGCGCAGGAAGCAGCUGGUGGCUGCCCUGCAGAACUCGGAUGAGGACAGCGGGGACUGGGUGCUGCUUAACGUCUACGACUCCAUCCAGGAGGAAGUGCGGGCCAAGAGCAAGCUGCUGGAGAAGAUGCAGAGGAAGCUUCGGGCAGCAGAGGUGGAGAUCAAAGAUCUGCAGUCCGAGUUUCAGCUGGAGAAGAUCGAUUACUUGGCCACCAUCCGCCGGCAGGAGCGUGACUCCAUGCUCUUGCAGCAGCUCCUGGAGCAGGUGCAGCCCCUGAUUCGCAGGGACUGUAACUACAGCAACCUGGAGAAGAUUCUGCGUGAGUCCUGCUGGGACGAAGAUAACGGCUUCUGGAAGAUCCCACAUCCCGUCAUCACAAAAACCAGCCUCCCAGUAGGUCAGGAGCUUGGCUGGCCCUUGCCCUCCCCUCCCUCCUUCACGGCUUACCAUCCUGCAGACUGGCAGGGAGUGUGGGCCUCUCCUUGCAGGCUGUGGGUGUAGAAGACACGUGACCCUGGGUACCUGAUGCGUCAGGACUCUGAGAAAGUGGUGUGUUCUGGAGGCAGACAGAUGUGGGUUGGAAUUCUGGCAGCACCGUUCCCUGUGUGCCCUUUUUGGGACUCGGUGUCUUCAUCUGUGAAAUGGGGAUGAAUAACAGCACCUUUC